UACGGAGGGUGCAAGCGUUAUCCGGAUUUACUGGGUUUAAAGGGUGCGUAGGCGGGCUGAUAAGUCAGUGGUGAAAGCCCCGAGCUUAACUCGGGAAUUGCCAUUGAUACUGCCAGUCUUGAAUACGGUUGAGGUAGGCGGAAUAUAGCAUGUAGCGGUGAAAUGCUUAGAUAUGCUAUAGAACACCGAUUGCGAAGGCAGCUUACUAAGCCGUUAUUGACGCUGAGGCACGAAAGCGUGGGGAGCAAACAGG
This 253-nucleotide ribosomal RNA is filed under the name uncultured bacterium. RNAcentral's name for it is "partial 16S ribosomal RNA". It matches the Rfam family "Bacterial small subunit ribosomal RNA", at positions 524 to 776 of the family's 1533-position model. The record is from RNAcentral.